This 281-nucleotide ribosomal RNA is filed under the name uncultured Chloroflexota bacterium. RNAcentral's name for it is "uncultured Chloroflexi bacterium partial 16S ribosomal RNA". It matches the Rfam family "Bacterial small subunit ribosomal RNA", at positions 1102 to 1397 of the family's 1533-position model. The record is from RNAcentral. Lineage: Bacteria; Bacillati; Chloroflexota.
CCCACAUCGUUAGUUAUAAGUGUCUAACGAGACUGCCGGUGAUAAGCCGGAGGAAGGUGUGGAUGACGUCAAGUCAGCAUGGCCUUUAUAUCCGGGGCUACACACACGCUACAAUGGACGGUACAAUGGGCAGCGAAGCCGCGAGGUGAAGCCAAUCCCCCAAAGCCGUUCUCAGUUCGGAUUGCAGGCUGCAACUCGCCUGCAUGAAGUCGGAGUUGCUAGUAAACGUGCGUCAGCACAGCGCGUUGAAUACGUUCCCGGGGAUUGUACACACCGCCCGU